Molecule: long non-coding RNA, 162 nt
Filed under: Polistes fuscatus (common paper wasp)
Lineage: Eukaryota; Metazoa; Arthropoda; Insecta; Hymenoptera; Vespidae
Description: uncharacterized LOC122516621
Source: RNAcentral
CGCGUGGCCAGUGAACGUUUGCGCGUGCGCGGCACAUCGGGGCCUGAUGCCCCCAUCUCAACCGUAGAUCCUCGUAAGAUCGAGAAGCGUAAAGAAGUAUUAUCCUCGAAGGUGGGAAAGAAAGAAAAAAAGAUGAAAGUUAACGAAGGAAACACGUAGCCA